GCCCGGCUAGCUCAAUCGGUAGAGCGUGAGACUCUUAAGUAUUCACGAUCUAAUCAUUCGAUUACAUGGCAUCUCAAGGUUGUGGGUUCGACCCCCACGUCGGGCU
RNAcentral lists this transfer RNA (106 nucleotides) under Bimuria novae-zelandiae CBS 107.79. It matches the Rfam family "tRNA". Rfam says of the family: Transfer RNA (tRNA) molecules are approximately 80 nucleotides in length. Their secondary structure includes four short double-helical elements and three loops (D, anti-codon, and T loops). Further hydrogen bonds mediate the characteristic L-shaped molecular structure. tRNAs have two regions of fundamental functional importance: the anti-codon, which is responsible for specific mRNA codon recognition, and the 3' end, to which the tRNAs corresponding amino acid is attached (by aminoacyl-tRNA synthetases). tRNAs cope with the degeneracy of the genetic code in two manners: having more than one tRNA (with a specific anti-codon) for a particular amino acid; and 'wobble' base-pairing, i.e. permitting non-standard base-pairing at the 3rd anti-codon position. Lineage: Eukaryota; Fungi; Ascomycota; Dothideomycetes; Pleosporales; Didymosphaeriaceae. The record is from Rfam by way of RNAcentral.